This 422-nucleotide unclassified non-coding RNA is filed under the name fungal sp. RNAcentral's name for it is "partial internal transcribed spacer region". The stretch from base 1 to 46 matches the Rfam family "Eukaryotic small subunit ribosomal RNA", at positions 1786 to 1831 of the family's 1831-position model. Lineage: Eukaryota; Fungi. The record is from RNAcentral.
AAGUCGUAACAAGGUAACCGUAGGUGAACCUGCGGUUGGAUCAUUAAACAAACCAAGGUGGAGAGGGAGUCCGACCCACACCAGGGACAGCAUCCCAACGAUGCAGUCGUCCCAGGAGAGUGAACGGUCUUCCUCUCGUUUCGCCACACAUUUUGUGAACCCUCAAACCCGUCCGGCGGGGGAGGAAGUGGAAGGCUCCAGGGUCUCCCAGUUCCUCCGUCAGCGAAGGACAGCAUUGUUCUUUGCCGUGGACAACCCGCCCACCCAACCCUUCCAGCCUUUGCGUUGAAGGGGUUGUUUUGCCCAACUUUUUGGAUCUUUACGAAUUGUGAAUCGUCUCUGAGAAUGCGAUGGUGCAAUUGCACCGUCUUUUGGAAACAAACAUUCAAAAACAACUUUUGGCAACGGAUCUCUUGGCUCUC